This 586-nucleotide ribosomal RNA is filed under the name uncultured bacterium. RNAcentral's name for it is "partial 16S ribosomal RNA". It matches the Rfam family "Bacterial small subunit ribosomal RNA", at positions 355 to 1375 of the family's 1533-position model. The record is from RNAcentral.
UGGGGAAUUUUGGACAAUGGGCGAAAGCCUGAUCCAGCAAUGCCGCGUGUGUGAAGAAGGCCUUCGGGUUGUAAAGCACUUUUGUCCGGAAAGAAAUCCUUGGCUCUAAUACAGUCGGGGGAUGACGGUACCGGAAGAAUAAGCACCGGCUAACUACGUGCCAGCAGCCGCGGUAAUACGUAGGGUGCAAGCGUUAAUCGGAAUUACUGGGCGUAAAGCGUGCGCAGGCGGUUUGCUAAGACCGAUGUGAAAUCCCCGGGCUCAACCUGGGAACUGCAUUGGUGACUGGCAGGCUAGAGUAUGGCAGAGGGGGGUAGAAUUCCACGUGUAGCAGUGAAAUGCGUAGAGAUGUGGAGGAAUACCGAUGGCGAAGGCAGCCCCCUGGGCCAAUACUGACGCUCAUGCACGAAAGCGUGGGGAGCAAACAGGAUUAGAUACCCUGGUAGUCCACGCCCUAAACGAUGUCAACUAGUUGUUGGGGGAUUCAUUUCCUUAGUAACGUAGCUAACGCGUGAAGUUGACCGCCUGGGGAGUACGGUCGCAAGAUUAAAACUCAAAGGAAUUGACGGGGUCAUAGCUGUUUCCU